RNAcentral lists this ribosomal RNA (273 nucleotides) under uncultured Staphylococcus sp. Its description in RNAcentral is "partial 16S ribosomal RNA". It matches the Rfam family "Bacterial small subunit ribosomal RNA", at positions 89 to 356 of the family's 1533-position model. The record is from RNAcentral. Lineage: Bacteria; Bacillati; Bacillota; Bacilli; Caryophanales; Staphylococcaceae.
ACGUUAGCGGCGGACGGGUGAGUAACACGUGGGUAACCUACCUAUAAGACUGGGAUAACUUCGGGAAACCGGAGCUAAUACCGGAUAAUAUUUCGAACCGCAUGGUUCGAUAGUGAAAGGUGGUUUUGCUAUCACUUAUAGAUGGACCCGCGCCGUAUUAGCUAGUUGGUAAGGUAACGGCUUACCAAGGCGACGAUACGUAGCCGACCUGAGAGGGUGAUCGGCCACACUGGAACUGAGACACGGUCCAGACUCCUACGGGAGGCAUCAGCG